UUUGGGAAGUGAUGCCAAAAACUCAAACAGAGGCGCCAGCUAUGCUGAAUCGAUUAUUUAUUUGCACGUCACUCUGAUCCCAAA
This is a non-coding RNA of Lupinus angustifolius (narrow-leaved blue lupine), 84 nucleotides long. NCBI's taxonomy places the organism in Eukaryota, Viridiplantae, Streptophyta, Magnoliopsida, Fabales, Fabaceae. The record is from Rfam.